AGGCCCAACGGGAUUGCCUCAGUAGCGGCGAGUGAAGCGGCAAGAGCUCAGAUUUGAAAUCGUGCUUUGCGGCACGAGUUGUAGAUUGCAGGUUGGAGUCUGUGUGGAAGGCGGUGUCCAAGUCCCUUGGAACAGGGCGCCCAGGAGGGUGAGAGCCCCGUGGGAUGCCGGCGGAAGCAGUGAGGCCCUUCUGACGAGUCGAGUUGUUUGGGAAU
Molecule: ribosomal RNA, 215 nt
Filed under: Pichia kudriavzevii
Lineage: Eukaryota; Fungi; Ascomycota; Pichiomycetes; Pichiales; Pichiaceae
Description: partial 26S ribosomal RNA
Rfam family: Eukaryotic large subunit ribosomal RNA
Source: RNAcentral